Pelodiscus sinensis (Chinese soft-shelled turtle) is the source of this 333-nucleotide non-coding RNA. The record is from the annotation of a RefSeq genome assembly. Lineage: Eukaryota; Metazoa; Chordata; Testudines; Trionychidae.
AUGGAGCCGCGGUUCAUUCUCAGCCUUUGGGUGUCCCAGCUGCUAGGUUCCGCGCUGGGCGACUCCAUCCACUCCAAGGACCCCGCCGUGUCGGGCUCGGCUGGCGGGGGCCGCUACGUGUAUCUCUACUGGUACCGGCAGUACCCGAACGGGGCCCCGCAGUACCUGCUCUGGCGAGGAGCCAGGACCUACAGCCAGCUCAGCGACACGGCAGAGUUCGCCCAGAGCAGAUUCGCGUCCCAGGCAGAUGACAACGCCACAGCGUUAACCAUCACUGAGCUGGAGCUGGCGGACACCGCGGUGUAUUUCUGCGCCCUGCAGCGCGCACAGUGA